AUGACGGCGGUGGCGGCGGGGAGCGGCAACAGCAGGCCAAGGUGGCGCUGCCCUUCUCCGCCAUGUGCGUGCGGAUCUCCCGCGACUCCUACCCCAACCUCCACGCCCUCCACAACGCCUCCAACGACAGCCUCACCGCCGCCGCCUACGUCAAGAUCUCCGAGGGCGACUUCGGAUACGUCCUCGACGACGUGCCCCACCUCGCCGACUACCUCCCCGUGA
RNAcentral lists this ribosomal RNA (222 nucleotides) under Triticum aestivum (bread wheat). RNAcentral describes it as "partial small subunit ribosomal RNA". The record is from RNAcentral. Lineage: Eukaryota; Viridiplantae; Streptophyta; Magnoliopsida; Poales; Poaceae.